GGGGAUAUAGCUCAGUGGUAGAGUGUUGACCUAGCAUGAAGCAUGUGAAAAACCCUAGAUUCAAUCCCUAACACCCCCC
This 79-nucleotide transfer RNA is filed under the name Marmota monax (woodchuck). Its description in RNAcentral is "tRNA.Ala". Lineage: Eukaryota; Metazoa; Chordata; Mammalia; Rodentia; Sciuridae. The record is from RNAcentral.